GGGAGGGGACAGAGAGGACAGACCCAGCGGACAGACCCAGGGGGCUGGGGAAGCUUCCUGGUGAGACCCCUACUGGACUGGCAGAGCAAUAUCGAACGUCUGCUGGUGGGAUAUUUUCCCCAUGGUGGACGGCAACCAAACGAGCCCCAAGUCUCGCAGGUGCAGAGUG
Long non-coding RNA from Perognathus longimembris pacificus (Pacific pocket mouse), 169 nucleotides. RefSeq lists it as uncharacterized. The transcript is spliced from 4 exons. The record is from RefSeq and is a predicted model, not a curated record. NCBI's taxonomy places the organism in Eukaryota, Metazoa, Chordata, Mammalia, Rodentia, Heteromyidae.